GCGCGCGCUCCUGCUCGUGGCGGCCAGUCGGGGCUGUGGCGUCUCGCUCACGAGCGGCUGCGGCGGGCGAGCGUGGGGCCGGGACCCUGCCCGCCUGCGCGUCCUCCUCCGGGUGCGCGGCUGCCGCGUUUCGGGGACGGGGUCUCACUGCCGCCCGGGCUGGAGCGCGCCGGCCGGAUCUCGGCUCCCUGCAGCCUCGACCUCCCGAGCUCACGCGAUCCGGCCGCCUCAGCCUCUCCGGUAGCUGGGGCCGCAGGCGCCGCGCGCGGGCUCCUGGCGUUUGCGGUCUGCGGGGGCGGCGUCUCGGUGCGGCCCGGGCUCCCGGCUCCGCGGCCCACGCGCUCCUCCCCGCGGCCGGCGCCGCCCCGGCCUCCCCAGCUCCCGGAGCUGUCUGGGGCGCGCGGGGCGCGCGGGGCCCGCCCCGCCCUGGGUCAGAGCCGGGGCCGGCGGGGGUCGCGGCCGCCCCUGUCCCCGCCCUGGUCCUCGCCGUAGACUCGGGGAGAACCGGGUCGCUGGCCGGGACCCCGAGACGGUCCCCACCGGCUCCCACUUACCGGCGUCUGGCUGUUGGUGGUUUUGUUUGGUUGAUUUUUUUUUUUAGGUUGAUAGUAAAAGCAUUUUAAAGUUUUGUGUUUUUUUUUUUUAAACAGCAUAUGCAGUAGACUCGCUGCUUGAUUUAUCUAUAUUUACCGACUUGCACAGUUAUACCAAGAAAUGUUUACGCAGAUGAUGAUAAGCAUAUGUAGAAAUGCAGCGUUUUCACAGACGGGGAAUAACCAGCUCCAGGCUGCAGUUCUCUGCACGAAGAUGAAGUCUGAUGGGGAAACUCCGCAGCGACCUGAGCCUGGAGGAGCAGCUGGGGACGGUGGGCAGAGCCAGGUGUGGGGUCCUGCACCUGGGCUGGGGGAGCGGCAGGCUCCGGGGUCGAGUUGAGGCUGUGCUAGUCCUGGCCUCCAGGCCUCGGGUGGCCCACUCUGCCCUCUGCCUGUUUCCUCCCUUGUAAAGUGGGGAGUAAGGGACCAUCACAAGCCAGGGGUUGGUGGCACAUGCUGUGGUCUCAGCCGCUCAGGAAGCUGGGCCCGGAGGGUCACUUGUGUCCCAGAGCUGAAGCUGUGUGUGGUGUGUGAGCCCGGUGCCUGUGAAUAGCCACUGCGCUCCAGCCUGGGCAACGCUGAGACCCUGGCUCAGAAAACCCACAAAACUUAAAAGAUGAACACAGAUAAACGAUGGGAGCCUGGUAUGUGGUCAGCACUCUGCAGAUGGCAGCCUGGAACCCAGGACAGGUCUCAAAAGGCUGCCAGCUUCAGUCACUGCCUGGUGGAAAACAAGCCUGUCUUUGGGGCCAGCCAGCUAAGUGAGCCUUUCACCCCAUCUGAAGGCAAAGUACCCAAAUGGGCAACCGUGGACGGCUAAGUAAAAAUGAAGACUCCUGGGACGCCUUCUCAGGACACAUUCUUAAUAAACAGAUACGUGCAUGAGGACAUCGCAUGCAUUUCUAUGCAACAGGCCACCCCAAACCUCAGUGAGCAAAAACCUCUCUUCACUGCUCAUGACCCUGUGGGCCUGCAGCGUGAGCUGGUUCAGCUGAGACUGCUUCCCUCAGCCCCACGAGGUGACCACUGGGCCUACUUAUCAGCAGGGGCCCCCAGCAGAUAGGGGCCACGUGUCUCCAGUCCCCGCAGGCAGGCUGGCGGGGCCUCCCUCCCAGUGGAUCUCCAUCGGCAGCGAGAGAAAGCAAAUCCUUGUGGUGCUUCCAUCCCUCUCCCCAGGAGAAGCAGAGCAGCAGAAAGCGGAUGGUGGCCAAGGCCGGGACCCUCUGCUGUUCCCACAGGCCUCUCCAGAGGCUCUGCAGGACCAGCCGGCAGCCUCUAAUGGUCCCAUCCUGUUCUACGCCCUCAGAUGCCAUCCUCUCCACAGAGAUGGUUCCUGCCUUGGCGCUCUCCCUAACUUGGAAGAAUGGCACUCUUGAUGCUGAUGUCAGGGAGGAAAGCAGUUUCCAGUCGCCCAGGCCCAGGACAGGGCAUGCCCAGCUGUCGUGAAGCAUGGAGCUCCAGGAUGCCCACUUGGGUGCCUGUGAGAUUAGGUGCUUUGAGAAUGAAUCUGCAGUCUCCUGAGGAGGUCCAAAGAAAUUUCAAGGAUAUCUCAGCCAUCCGUUCCUUGUGCACUGUGGAAGUCGAACACUCGGGCUCCUGGAGGGGCCCUGGGUCUCCACAGAAGCGCUGGCAGCCACCAUCUACUUCCUGGACUUCCGUGCCUGCCCCACCUCUGUUCUGUUGUUUACUGUCUCCUUUGUGGGAAUUACGGAAUAAACAAUCACUUUGGUGUCCCGGAAAA
This is a non-coding RNA of Saimiri boliviensis boliviensis (Bolivian squirrel monkey), 2334 nucleotides long. Lineage: Eukaryota; Metazoa; Chordata; Mammalia; Primates; Cebidae. The record is from RefSeq and is a predicted model, not a curated record.